UUGGGUGACAUUUGUCCUCCUUA
This 23-nucleotide non-coding RNA is filed under the name Arabidopsis thaliana (thale cress). The record is from RNAcentral. Lineage: Eukaryota; Viridiplantae; Streptophyta; Magnoliopsida; Brassicales; Brassicaceae.